This 253-nucleotide ribosomal RNA is filed under the name uncultured bacterium. RNAcentral's name for it is "partial 16S ribosomal RNA". It matches the Rfam family "Bacterial small subunit ribosomal RNA", at positions 524 to 776 of the family's 1533-position model. The record is from RNAcentral.
UACGGAGGGUGCAAGCGUUAUCCGGAUUUACUGGGUUUAAAGGGUGCGUAGGUGGGUCUGUAAGUCCGUGGUGAAAUCUCCGAGCUUAACUCGGAAACUGCCAUUGAUACUAUAGAUCUUGAAUAUCCUGGAGGUGAGCGGAAUAUGUCAUGUAGCGGUGAAAUGCUUAGAUAUGACAUAGAACACCAAUUGCGAAGGCAGCUCACUACUGGAUCAUUGACACUGAGGCACGAAAGCGUGGGGAUCAAACAGG